Molecule: transfer RNA, 68 nt
Filed under: Colobopsis nipponica
Lineage: Eukaryota; Metazoa; Arthropoda; Insecta; Hymenoptera; Formicidae
Description: tRNA-Phe
Source: RNAcentral
AUCUAAAUAGCUUAAAAUUUAAAGUUUAAUAGUGAAAAUAUUAAGAUAUUAUUAAUUAUUUUUAGAUA